GCCGAAGUGGCGAAAUUGGUAUACGCACUGGACUCAAAAUCCAGCGCUGUUUUACGGCAUGCCGGUUCAAAUCCGGCCUUCGGCA
This 85-nucleotide transfer RNA is filed under the name Candidatus Cloacimonadota bacterium. RNAcentral describes it as "Candidatus Cloacimonetes bacterium (marine metagenome) tRNA-Leu". It matches the Rfam family "tRNA". Rfam says of the family: Transfer RNA (tRNA) molecules are approximately 80 nucleotides in length. Their secondary structure includes four short double-helical elements and three loops (D, anti-codon, and T loops). Further hydrogen bonds mediate the characteristic L-shaped molecular structure. tRNAs have two regions of fundamental functional importance: the anti-codon, which is responsible for specific mRNA codon recognition, and the 3' end, to which the tRNAs corresponding amino acid is attached (by aminoacyl-tRNA synthetases). tRNAs cope with the degeneracy of the genetic code in two manners: having more than one tRNA (with a specific anti-codon) for a particular amino acid; and 'wobble' base-pairing, i.e. permitting non-standard base-pairing at the 3rd anti-codon position. The record is from RNAcentral. Lineage: Bacteria; Pseudomonadati; Candidatus Cloacimonadota.